Molecule: transfer RNA, 72 nt
Filed under: Trichonephila clavata
Lineage: Eukaryota; Metazoa; Arthropoda; Arachnida; Araneae; Nephilidae
Rfam family: tRNA
About the family: Transfer RNA (tRNA) molecules are approximately 80 nucleotides in length. Their secondary structure includes four short double-helical elements and three loops (D, anti-codon, and T loops). Further hydrogen bonds mediate the characteristic L-shaped molecular structure. tRNAs have two regions of fundamental functional importance: the anti-codon, which is responsible for specific mRNA codon recognition, and the 3' end, to which the tRNAs corresponding amino acid is attached (by aminoacyl-tRNA synthetases). tRNAs cope with the degeneracy of the genetic code in two manners: having more than one tRNA (with a specific anti-codon) for a particular amino acid; and 'wobble' base-pairing, i.e. permitting non-standard base-pairing at the 3rd anti-codon position.
Source: Rfam by way of RNAcentral
GGCCCGUUAGCUCAGUUGGUUAGAGCGUCGUGCUAAUAACGCGAAGGUCGCGGGUUCGAUCCCUCACGGCCA